Molecule: long non-coding RNA, 2352 nt
Organism: Nerophis ophidion (straightnose pipefish)
Lineage: Eukaryota; Metazoa; Chordata; Actinopteri; Syngnathiformes; Syngnathidae
Exons: 3
Source: RefSeq, a predicted model, not a curated record
CGUUAGUUUUCAUCUGUCAUGUGAUAGCAGAGCUGCCUGUUAAUGUGACUGUGUCCGUGCAACUAACACAAGAAUGUGCAAAGUGUGUAGCAGUACGCCUCCGGGCAGAAGAACUCGAUCCAGUGGUGUAGAACUGCAGAGCUUUCUGUCACACAUGGACUUGGAUUUGUUUUGCUUCUUUCAUGCAAAGGAGGAUUGGCAUGAGCCAGACGUGAAUGUUUACGGGGGGUGCUGGAGCCUAUCUCAGCUGCACAUGGGUGGAAGGCGUCGUACACCCUGGACAAGUCGCCACCUUAUUGCAGGGCCAACACAAAUAGACAAACAACAUUCACACUCCCAUUCACACACAAGGGCCAAUUUAGUGUUGCCAAUCAAACUAUCCCCAAGUGCAGGUAUUUGGAGGUGGGAGGAAGCCGGAGUUCCCGGAGGGGGCCCACGCAGUCACGGGGAGAACAUGCAAACUCCACACAGAGAGAUCCAGAGCCCGGGAUUGAACUGAGGACCUUCGUAUUGUGAGGCACAUGCACUAACCCCUUUUCCAACAUGCUGGCUGCUUUGAUAAUAUAUAUUUUUUUAAUGUAAAACAUAUUUACUAGAGCAAAGAUUUUUAUUAGUUAAAAUUAUACAUAUUAAAUUAUACCUCGGAUAAGCGGAAGAUGAUGGAUGGAAUUAUAAUAUUAUAUUAACUUAAAAUAGUGCAACAAGUAUUAUAGUAUGAUAAAUUCCAAACAUUUUAUCCUGUUUUGUCAAAGCCAGUUUUACAUCAAGUUGCACACUGUAAAAAUUACAAUAAAAUUAAUGUUAACAAAAACCUGUCACCUAAGUCACCAUAAUUUUACAAUUAAAAAAAGGGAAUCGUUUAUUUAUUUUUUUUAUUUACAAUACUAGACUGUAAAAAUAACAACCAAGGAGUUUACGGUGAAAAAAAGUGGCAGCUCAGUUGCCAGAAUUUUAAAUAACAGCAGUCUUACUGUUUUUCCUUUUACUGUAAAACGCCAUAAAAAAAAAAUAACACUACAUUUUUUUUUAAAAACGAAUGAGUUGCCAGUUUUUAACCGCAAUAUCUAUAGAUUUGUUUUUUUACAAUGUAUGUAAAAAAUGUACACAAUAAACACAAGUAACAAUGCCAUGAAUGCUUAUACAUUUAUAAUUAUAUGAUAUUCAUUGUUAUAAGCCGGCAGCUAUCGCUGUGAUAUGGCCCUCAAUGAAAACCCCUUACACCUGUGUUAAUGAAUGACGAUACAUGAUGGUAUUAACAAAAAAAAGGGAAUGAUUCUUGCAUUUAUGUUUUUGGAGGCAUUCAAGGGUAGUGUGAACAUAUAAAAAAAUGUUUUUAACAUUCUUACCUGGUGUGCUGACGAUGGUUUUGGUUGAACUGUUUGGCUCCUGACCUUUUUCACCGCAUCAGUCAUGUUGUCAACACGAUUCUUUUGCUGAGAAAUGGACCUCAGCCUUUGGGUAGAACAGACAGCAAGUAAAGAGUGAGUCAUAUUGAUACUGGCUGUAACAAGGAAUCAGAUUUUGCAAUAUAUAAGUACAUUGAUAAAUAAAUAUUAAUAGUUGGGUCUUCUUGAGGUACCUGUGAAGGUCUUUGUUUAUUGCUUGGAUAGUCAGGGUGACAUCUGCUGAAAGCACCUCUUGUGUGCUGGACUCUGCAGCCUUCUGCAGGUCUGAAGCUUUUGAGGACAAUAUUUUCAAGCUUGCAUCACAGUCCUAAGAAAAGAUAUAUUCCUAUGUUAUUGGCAGGAAACAACUCCUGAUUCACACCAACAUAUGAUCUCAUUUCUGAAUAUUGAACAUUGUUUUUAGAAUUUUAGGUAAUAAGCAUAAACUUUAGUAUACCUGUGACCCUAAGGAGGAUAGAAAAUGGAUGGAUGGAUGAAUAGAUAAUGAGCGUAUCACAUAAAAACGGAUUUUAUUGAAGAAGUCACACCCAGUCACUCAUUUCCGUCCCCUAGCAAGUCAAGCGAUUUAGACCAUUGCCCUGACAGGCAAUGUGUACAGGCUAUCAAUAUAGUAACUUUUCAUUUGACUUACAGUACAUGCUGGAAUUUAUUUUGUAGUAGGUGAGCAUGCCAGGUUUUUUACUUGAUUGAUUUUUUUGUUAAUUUUUUUUCCAGGGUUGUCAAAAUGUUAACUCAUGCGAUUAAUCAUACAAAAAUAAUCACAUUAAAUGCAGAAUGAUCGUGCAAUUUAUUUUGCCCGCACAUGCUGUGUUAAGUUUACUUAACUGUGGGUGGUUACCUGGAAUACAUUCAUCAGCGCAAUUCACCAUUGGCCAAUUUCACUUUAAAAUAAACUCAGCAGGUCUUUAGAUAAUAUUGUUAUAAAAUUUUGAACAAAUACAUGACA